AAGAUCUUCUCUCCUAUGGCGUUUGCAAAAUUGGAUGCGUAAAGCUUCUCUGUCACUACUGGACCAGGAUUUGCCAGAAGAAGCUUGCAUAAAAGGAAGAACUCACGGAAGUCAUCGAACCAACAAUAUUCAUUGUUCCUAGUGCAACCAUUUCUUUGUUUCCAUCUAGUUGAUAGUCCUUCAUAGAUGCAAAUGUUCUUCCAAUUGCCGAGGCUUCCUGGCCAUCGAAAUGUAAUGGUUUAAUUAGAACUACAUAGUAAAAUGGACAACUCUUCAAGAGAGGUAUUGGUGUCAAAGUUACUCACAGUCAAUGCUAUCAUGCCUGCCACGAUGCCAACUUUAAAACCUUUUCCAAGGUUUUCUCCUGUUAAAUAAAGAUCUUUAACAGAUGAUGGAUUGAUUCCUUUUUCUAUUUUUCUCACCUUCACAUAUCAAUGGACAAAAACUUCAGUUAUGAUGUAACUAAUAUUAUGACACUCUUGCCAUCAGUUGUUCCUAAAAUACGCUAUCAGUCUUUUGAUGAGAAUGAACAUAUACUUACAAUUUCUACUCCUUGCUUAUCUGCACGGGUUAUGAAUACAAAAAAAGUGGACAAAAUAACGGAUAUCAAUGGAGCAAUUGCUGGCAGCCAGAAUAAUCUCCUGUUUUUCUUUCCCUGACGCACAUAAUAUGAAUGAAUGAGAAAACAAUUUACAAACUCCUAACGAUUAAUUAGGGAAUAAUAGCAAAAUGCAUAAAGGGGAGGUAUAAUGUCUUACAAUGUAUUUGGUGACCAGAAGAAAACUCAAAAAGCUAGCUCCAAUGACUAUAGUUUCCCAGUUCCACUGCAACAUAAGUGUUAUAAAUUAUUAGUCAAUUUUGUGUUCAACACACAGAUAGCAGUAACACUAACAGUUGGCUAUCUAAAUUUAGGCACGGACUUGUUCAGAUUAGGAUUCCUGGUAAUUAAUAAUUUGCAAUUAUAUUGAGAGAGAGAAGGAGAGUAUACUCCAUGAUGGGCUGUAUGGAAUACUGAAUGCAGCACAGAGACAAUAUCAGUUUUCGUUGUGAACAUUUUAGUUUUAAUGCCAAGAAAACCUUUGAGCUGUUGAAGGGAAAUUGUGAUAGCAGCACCCCCCAUAAAACCGACAAUAGCAGCAUGGGAUAGGAAGUCGAUCAAGAAUCCUAAUCUGGUUAAAUAAAUAAAUAAGGCAACCAUAUUAUAUGGUGUGAUAUUAAACAGUGUAACAUUAGUUGUAACUGGUAGCGGUUGCACAAGACAUAAACUUCACUGGUUGAAAUAUCUAAAUGCAAAAUCCAUAUAUUGGGCGGUAGUGUUGUCAUACCUAAGAACACCAAGCGUUGCUUGAGUAAUCCCAGCAAAAAAAGUGGCUGUAAAAGCAAGUCGCUGAUAUUCUUCCGCAUUUUUAAUAGGAUCAAUCUCAUUACUAAGUAGGGUCCCCAACAAGAGAGAAACCACUGCUACAGGUCCUAUAGCAAUAUCACGAGAGCUACCCAUGACAGCAUAGAUCAAUGGUGGAACAAAACUUGAGUCUGUAAACGGGUAGAAAGAACAAAAUACAAAAGGAUCAGUCUAACGUGCAAAGAAAAAACUUGAGCUGCUGGUGAGAGGCAAGUAGAGUCUUACACAGUCCAUACUGUGGAGACAAAUGUGCAAGCUUGGCGUAUCCAAUAUCCUGUUUUUCAGCCAAGCAUUAGAAGUUAGAACCAUGAAAAAUGGGGCAUGCAACAGGAAUUAUUCUCAUAGACUUCAAAACUUGAAAUCCACAGUAAAGCAAAUUUAAAUACCUGAGGAAUGCAAAGACUCGCAAUAGUGAGACCAGAUAUUAAAUCCCCUCUAAAUUUUUUAAGGUUGUAACUUCUUCCCCACUUAAGUAUUGGAAAUAUGGCCUCAAUACCGAGGAUGAACUUCCUUGAUAUAGAUUGAUCUUUGAAGGGUCUUAGAGGAUCAUCAGCAAAUAAUAUUUCUUUAAUGAUGUCUUGGAAUUCCUUGAAGAGGUUCUGUCUUGGAGGAACUGCCACUUUGUAGACUUGUGGUACCUGACCAUGUGAAGAAGACGACAUACUUCUCAGAUCGAUCUCUUUGGUUUCAAGGUUCUGAUCAGAAGGACGGCCCAUUGAAGUCAUCAACCGGGACCUUCAGUCUGUAAUACAGGGAAAAGUCAUAACCAGAAAUACUGGGAAAAAUAAGGACAUCAAGGAGUGUGAUUGAUUAGCAAUCACAAAAUAUGGUUUAUACUGCAUGCAAUAAUGAAGUUUACCAUGUUGCUUAAAACUAUAAUAUAUAGUCCAAUAAUGAAGAUAAUCAGGCCCCUACUAUGGAAUUUUGGAUGUUGAUUUGUGACUGAUAGAUUUUGAAAUGCUUACUAACCUGAAUAGAAGAGGAGGAGGGGAUACGUGAUAGAAGAUUGGAAUGGUCACUGGUUCAAACUGUAAUGCCUUCUUAAACAGGUAAGUUGUGGAUUAUAACCUCAAAGACUUUAUCUUUCAGGUCAAUGUUCUCAAGCUGGGAUUGGAAAACAAGACUAUAUAAUGUGUGAACCGGAUCGAAUGAAUACAAGUCAAAAUCAUGCAUUACAAUGCUUAAUAUUCAAUCCUGACCAAACUACCCUGGAAUUCCCAAGUCGGACAAUCUUCUUAUAGCAAGUAUCUAUCGUAACUUCAGAAGAACGACGGAGAACACAAUAAGUCUUGUACGUUUUGGGGAACUUAGUACAGCUAGAAGUUAAUAAAAUCAAAUUACAACA
Molecule: long non-coding RNA, 2747 nt
Organism: Vigna angularis (adzuki bean)
Lineage: Eukaryota; Viridiplantae; Streptophyta; Magnoliopsida; Fabales; Fabaceae
Exons: 2
Source: RefSeq, a predicted model, not a curated record